This 435-nucleotide ribosomal RNA is filed under the name uncultured Dyadobacter sp. Its description in RNAcentral is "bacterial SSU rRNA". It matches the Rfam family "Bacterial small subunit ribosomal RNA", at positions 358 to 790 of the family's 1533-position model. The record is from RNAcentral. Lineage: Bacteria; Pseudomonadati; Bacteroidota; Cytophagia; Cytophagales; Spirosomataceae.
GGAAUAUUGGGCAAUGGAUGCAAGUCUGACCCAGCCAUGCCGCGUGCCGGAUGAAGGCCCUCAGGGUUGUAAACGGCUUUUAUUCGGGAAGAAGAGCGGGGAUGCGUCCCUGUGUGACGGUACCGAAUGAAUAAGCACCGGCUAACUCCGUGCCAGCAGCCGCGGUAAUACGGAGGGUGCGAGCGUUGUCCGGAUUUAUUGGGUUUAAAGGGUGCGUAGGUGGCUGAUUAAGUCAGUGGUGAAAUACAGCCGCUCAACGGUUGAGGUGCCAUUGAUACUGAUUAGCUUGAAAUAAUUGGAGGCUGCCGGAAUGGAUGGUGUAGCGGUGAAAUGCAUAGAUAUCAUCCUGAACACCGAUUGCGAAGGCAGGUGGCUACGAUUUAUUUGACACUGAGGCACGAAAGCAUGGGGAGCAAACAGGAUUAGAUACCCGAG